This is a non-coding RNA of Vicia faba (fava bean), 258 nucleotides long. The record is from the annotation of a GenBank genome assembly. NCBI's taxonomy places the organism in Eukaryota, Viridiplantae, Streptophyta, Magnoliopsida, Fabales, Fabaceae.
AUGACCCGAAUGGCUGAAGAUGUUGUCAUUCGAUACUUGAAUCACAAAGCUGUUGGAAGAGAUGUUCCGGAAGAAUUGAAGUGGAUUAAAGAAGAAAUGGUUCAAGUUCUUGCCACUCCAGUUGUUUGGGUUGUCGGUAAACCAAAUGAAAAAGUCGCGACACUCAUGAUUCAGACCACUUUUCAUGGAUACUUGGCAAGAAUCAACAAACUCGCCAUAGCCAGCAUCAUCAUGCCACAACCGCUUAUACCUCCAUAA